CGCAAUCCAGCCGGCCUUGGACUCGAACAGCGCCAUUAUCGCUGAGGAAUCGAUCGAUCCUACGAGUUUGUGAGAUUCGUUGAACGUCUCCAUGUGACUCUUGUAAAUCCCUAAGCAACCCUUGGGAUAGGAAUCCUUUGUUACCCGAAAGCCGCAGUCUAUCAUUUAUCGUUAAUCAAUGUCUCUAUAUAAGUCUAUAUACAUCUACAAGAAGACCAACUGUUCGGAUCGAAAUAUUGCAAAAUAGAAGCGGGUGAGCAGUAUAAUUUGUGCACAACGCCAAGAAUGCAGGAGAACGCCGAGAAAGUGAGAGAAGAGGGAAUACAAUAAUGAAGAACGAUAAUCAUAUGAUAAUCCGAGGGAGAAAGGAACAAUGGACUGAAAGGAAGGGAACAGCGAGCAAAAAGGGCUCAUGUACUAAAUAAAGCCGGCCCCUUGCGCACACCAAAACAUCAACUUUUCUUUUUCUUUUUCUUUUUCUUUUCUUACCUUUUUUUUUCAAAACUUCGUCUUCAACUUCGAACC
RNAcentral lists this small RNA (525 nucleotides) under Histoplasma capsulatum var. duboisii H88. Its description in RNAcentral is "Histoplasma capsulatum H88 hypothetical RNA". Lineage: Eukaryota; Fungi; Ascomycota; Eurotiomycetes; Onygenales; Ajellomycetaceae. The record is from RNAcentral.